CGACACCGGAGAGGGAGCCUGAGAAACGGCUACCACAUCCAAGGAUGGCAGCAGGCGCGCAAAUUACCCAAUCCCGACACGGGGAGGUAGUGACAAUAAAUAACAAUACGGGGUUCUUUUGGAUCUCGUAAUUGGAAUGAGUACAAUUUAAAUCUCUUAACGAGGAACAAUUGGAGGGCAAGUCUGGUGCCAGCAGCCGCGGUAAUUCCAGCUCCAAUAGCGUAUAUUAAAGUUGUUGCAGUUAAAAAGCUCGUAGUUGAAUUUCGGGGUCAGCAAGUUGGUCGUGCCACUGGUAUGCACUGGCUUUGCUGAUUCCUCCUUCUUGAGGAACUGUAAUGCUAUUAAUUUAGUGUUGCAGGGAAACAGGACUGUUACUUUGAAAAAAUUAGAGUGUUUAAAGCAGGCUAACGCUUGAAUACAUUAGCAUGGAAUAAUGAAAUAGGACGUUUGAUCCUAUUUUGUUGGUUUCUAGGAUUGACGUAAUGAUUAAUAGGGAUAGCUGGGGGCAUUAGUAUUCAAUUGUCAGAGGUGAAAUUCUUGGAUUUAUUGAAGACUAACUACUGCGAAAGCAUUUGCCAAGGAUGUUCUCAUUAAUCAAGAACGAAAGUUAGGGGAUCGAAGACGAUCAGAUACCGUCGUAGUCUUAACCAUAAACUAUGCCGACUAGGGAUCGGAUGAUGU
Molecule: ribosomal RNA, 681 nt
Filed under: uncultured fungus
Lineage: Eukaryota; Fungi
Description: SSU rRNA
Rfam family: Eukaryotic small subunit ribosomal RNA
Source: RNAcentral